Molecule: ribosomal RNA, 253 nt
Filed under: uncultured bacterium
Lineage: Bacteria
Description: partial 16S ribosomal RNA
Rfam family: Bacterial small subunit ribosomal RNA
Source: RNAcentral
UACAGAGGUCCCAAGCGUUGUUCGGAUUCACUGGGCGUAAAGGGUGCGUAGGCGGUCGGGUAAGUCUGACGUGAAAUCUUCAAGCUCAACUUGGAAACUGCGUCCGAUACUAUUCGGCUAGAGGAAUGGAGGGGAGACUGGAAUUCCUGGUGUAGCGGUGGAAUGCGCAGAUAUCAGGAGGAACACCGGUGGCGAAGGCGGGUCUCUGGGCAGUAACUGACGCUGAGGAGCGAAAGCGUGGGGAGCGAACAGG